This 491-nucleotide ribosomal RNA is filed under the name uncultured bacterium. RNAcentral describes it as "partial 16S ribosomal RNA". It matches the Rfam family "Bacterial small subunit ribosomal RNA", at positions 29 to 506 of the family's 1533-position model. The record is from RNAcentral.
AGUGAACGCUGGCGGUAGGCCUAACACAUGCAAGUCGAACGGCAGCACAGUAAGAGCUUGCUCUUACGGGUGGCGAGUGGCGGACGGGUGAGGAAUACAUCGGAAUCUACUUUUUCGUGGGGGAUAACGUAGGGAAACUUACGCUAAUACCGCAUACGACCUACGGGUGAAAGAAGGGGAUCUUCGGACCUUGCGCGAUUGAAUGAGCCGAUGUCGGAUUAGCUAGUUGGCGGGGUAAAGGCCCACCAAGGCGACGAUCCGUAGCUGGUCUGAGAGGAUGAUCAGCCACACUGGAACUGAGACACGGUCCAGACUCCUACGGGAGGCAGCAGUGGGGAAUAUUGGACAAUGGGCGCAAGCCUGAUCCAGCCAUACCGCGUGGGUGAAGAAGGCCUUCGGGUUGUAAAGCCCUUUUGUUGGGAAAGAAAAGCAGCAGGUUAAUACCCCGCUGUUCUGACGGUACCCAAAGAAUAAGCACCGGCUAACUUCGU